This is a microRNA precursor of Oryza sativa Indica Group (long-grained rice), 198 nucleotides long. It matches the Rfam family "MIR812 microRNA precursor family". Lineage: Eukaryota; Viridiplantae; Streptophyta; Magnoliopsida; Poales; Poaceae. The record is from Rfam.
CAUGAGUAUUACCCUCUCUGUCCCAUUUUAAGUGUAGUUCGUCCGUCUUAUUUAAUUUUUUUAUAAUUAGUAUUUUUAUUGUUAUUAGAUGAUAAAACAUAAAUAAUAUUUUAUAUGUGACUUAUUUUUUUUUAAAAAAAAAGUUAAAUAAGACGGACGAUCAAACAUUGGGGACAGACAUCCACAACUGCACUUAAA